CCUACGGGUGGCUGCAGUAAGGAAUAUUGGACAAUGGGCGCAAGCCUGAUCCAGCCAUGCCGCGUGAAGGAUGAAGGUCCUCUGGAUUGUAAACUUCUUUUAUCUGGGGCGAAAAAAGCCCAUUCUUGGGCACUUGACAGUACCAGAUGAAUAAGCACCGGCUAACUCCGUGCCAGCAGCCGCGGUAAUACGGAGGGUGCAAGCGUUAUCCGGAUUCACUGGGUUUAAAGGGUGCGUAGGUGGGCAGAUAAGUCAGUGGUGAAAUCCCUGAGCUU
RNAcentral lists this ribosomal RNA (275 nucleotides) under uncultured bacterium. Its description in RNAcentral is "partial 16S ribosomal RNA". It matches the Rfam family "Bacterial small subunit ribosomal RNA", at positions 338 to 610 of the family's 1533-position model. The record is from RNAcentral.